UACGUAGGGUGCGAGCGUUGUCCGGAAUUACUGGGCGUAAAGAGCUCGUAGGCGGUCUGUCGCGUCGGCUGUGAAAACCCGAGGCUCAACCUCGGGCCUGCAGUCGAUACGGGCAAACUAGAGUACUGCAGGGGAGACUGGAAUUCCUGGUGUAGCGGUGAAAUGCGUAGAUAUCAAGAGGAACACCUGAGGUGAAGACGGGUUGCUGGGCUGACACUGACGCCGAGGCGCGAAAGCCAGGGGAGCAAACGGG
Molecule: ribosomal RNA, 253 nt
Filed under: uncultured bacterium
Lineage: Bacteria
Description: partial 16S ribosomal RNA
Rfam family: Bacterial small subunit ribosomal RNA
Source: RNAcentral